RNAcentral lists this ribosomal RNA (301 nucleotides) under uncultured bacterium. RNAcentral describes it as "partial 16S ribosomal RNA". It matches the Rfam family "Bacterial small subunit ribosomal RNA", at positions 509 to 807 of the family's 1533-position model. The record is from RNAcentral.
CAGUCGCCGCGGGAAUACGUAGGGUGCGAGCGUUAAUCGGAAUUACUGGGCGUAAAGCGUGCGCAGGCGGUUCGUUAAGACAGAUGUGAAAUCCCCGGGCUUAACCUGGGAACUGCAUUUGUGACUGGCGAGCUAGAGUAUGGCAGAGGGGGGUAGAAUUCCACGUGUAGCAGUGAAAUGCGUAGAGAUGUGGAGGAAUACCGAUGGCGAAGGCAGCCCCCUGGGCCAAUACUGACGCUCAUGCACGAAAGCGUGGGGAGCAAACAGGAUUAGAUACCCCUGUAGUCCCUGUCUCUUAUAC